Molecule: ribosomal RNA, 464 nt
Filed under: uncultured bacterium
Lineage: Bacteria
Description: partial 16S ribosomal RNA
Rfam family: Bacterial small subunit ribosomal RNA
Source: RNAcentral
ACGAACGCUGGCGGCGUGCUUAACACAUGCAAGUCGAACGGAAAGGCCCCUUUGGGGGUACUCGAGUGGCGAACGGGUGAGUAACACGUGAGUAACCUGCCCUUGACUUCGGGAUAACUUCAGGAAACUGGGGCUAAUACCGGAUAGGAAUCCUUGCUGCAUGGUGGGGGUUGGAAAGCUUCGGCGGUUUUGGAUGGACUCGCGGCUUAUCAGCUUGUUGGUGGGGUAGUGGCUUACCAAGGCUUUGACGGGUAGCCGGCCUGAGAGGGCGACCGGCCACAUUGGGACUGAGAUACGGCCCAGACUCCUACGGGAGGCAGCAGUGGGGAAGAUUGCACAAUGGGCGGAAGCCUGAUGCAGCAACGCCGCGUGCGGGAUGACGGCCUUCGGGUUGUAAACUGCUUUCAGCAGGGGCGAAGCUUGUGGUGACGGUACCUGCAGAAGAAGCACCGGCUAACUACGUG